CAGGUUCCGGUUCACGUUCGAAUUCUCCAGGUCAGGAGCGGGCGACCCGGCGACC
Non-coding RNA from Mycobacterium sp. ACS4331, 55 nucleotides. Lineage: Bacteria; Bacillati; Actinomycetota; Actinomycetes; Mycobacteriales; Mycobacteriaceae. The record is from Rfam.